RNAcentral lists this ribosomal RNA (497 nucleotides) under uncultured bacterium. Its description in RNAcentral is "partial 16S ribosomal RNA". It matches the Rfam family "Bacterial small subunit ribosomal RNA", at positions 28 to 507 of the family's 1533-position model. The record is from RNAcentral.
GACGAACGCUGGCGGCGUGCCUAAUACAUGCAAGUUGAGCGAUGAAGAUUGGUGCUUGCACCAAUUUGAAGAGCAGCGAACGGGUGAGUAACGCGUGGGGAAUCUGCCUUUGAGCGGGGGACAACAUUUGGAAACGAAUGCUAAUACCGCAUAACAACUUUAAACAUAAGUUUUAAGUUUGAAAGAUGCAAUUGCAUCACUCAAAGAUGAUCCCGCGUUGUAUUAGCUAGUUGGUGAGGUAAAGGCUCACCAAGGCGAUGAUACAUAGCCGACCUGAGAGGGUGAUCGGCCACAUUGGGACUGAGACACGGCCCAAACUCCUACGGGAGGCAGCAGUAGGGGAUCUUCGGCAAUGGACGAAAGUCUGACCGAGCAACGCCGCGUGAGUGAAGAAGGGUUUCGGAUCGUAAAACUCGGUUGGUAGAGAAGAACGUUGGUGAGAGUGGAAAGCUCAUCAAGUGACGGUAACUACCCAGAAAGGGACGGCUAACUACGUG